AGAGUUUGAUCCUGGCUCAGAAUGAACGUUGGCGGCGUGGAUUAGGCAUGCAAGUCGUACGCUUUAUGUAGCAAUACAUGAAGAGUGGCGUAAGGGAGAGUAAUGCAUGGUUAGCUACCCUCGGGACUGGGAUAGCGGCGGGAAACUGCCGGUAAUACCAGAUGAUAUCUUCGGAUCAAACGUGUAAAUCGGCCCGAGGAGGUGACCAUGUCCUAUCAGCUAGUUGGCGGUGUAACGGACCACCAAGGCUAAGACGGGUAUGGGGCGUGAGAGCGUGCCCCCACUCACUGGGACUGAGACACUGCCCAGACACCUACGGGUGGCUGCAGUCGAGAAUCUUCGGCAAUGGGCGCAAGCCUGACCGAGCGACGCCGCGUGCGGGAUGAAGGCCUUCGGGUUGUAAACCGCUGUCGUAGGGGAGGAAGGCUCCGUGCAGAACGGAGUUUGACCGAUCCUAGGAGGAAGGGCCGGCUAAUCUCGUGCCAGCAGCCGCGGUAAUUC
RNAcentral lists this ribosomal RNA (501 nucleotides) under uncultured bacterium. RNAcentral describes it as "bacterial SSU rRNA". It matches the Rfam family "Bacterial small subunit ribosomal RNA", at positions 8 to 526 of the family's 1533-position model. The record is from RNAcentral.